GGCAGCUGGAGACCUUUCUGCCCAGGAAGCCCGGGAAGAAGGAGCUCUCCAAGAGCUGUGCAUGGACAUCCUGGGGUCACUGGAUGUCUCUGUGAGAGGGAUGACCAAAGUAAGUCACAAUCUGCCCUGCUGCCGCUCCUCGACUUCACACCACGUGUUCCUCAUCCCCUUCCAACACCCCCGGUCUCUCCUCCAAUGUGCUCUAAAGCACACAAGACUCAGGGAAAUUCACAGAGUCCUCUUCAUCUCUGAGCGGAGGCAGGAACGCUGACACAGUGCUCAACCGCCUCGUUCCCUACAGCUCCUGUGGCCACGGCUGCUGCUGUACGUGGUGCCAGCCCAGUACACCGGCAUGCUGAUCCCAGUCUCCCGCUGUGUCCAAGCGCUGGCUGAGAGAGGGGACCUGAUGGUGCGGGAGGCAGAAGACCUGGAUCCCCAUUUCCUCAGCUCCAUGUUUCAAGGUAGGAGCAGAAACUCCCCCAGUGAGCUCUGUUGACCUGUGCUAGCACCCAGAAGGGACAGUGGAGGUGUGUGUGGCAGGGCACGUCGUGUCUGUGUCUUACUCAGCCCUUCUUUCUCCCCACAGGCCCACUGCUGACUCCCCAGACACUGCUGGCACGCCUGUUGGUGAGUAGAUGCUCCAGAGGCCGGUGCCAUGAGCCCCAAGGAGGAAGCAGCAUGGCCGAGUGUGCCAGUGCCUG
This 701-nucleotide long non-coding RNA is filed under the name Gallus gallus (chicken). RNAcentral describes it as "lncRNA (ENSGALG00010002976.1)". Lineage: Eukaryota; Metazoa; Chordata; Aves; Galliformes; Phasianidae. The record is from RNAcentral.